UUAACCGAAUAGGGGAGCCGGAGGGAAACCGAGUCUUAAUUGGGCGUUAAGUUGCAGGGUAUAGACCCGAAACCCGGUGAUCUAGCCAUGGGCAGGUUGAAGGUUGGGUAACACUAACUGGAGGACCGAACCGACUAAUGUUGAAAAAUUAGCGGAUGACCUGUGGCUGGGGGUGAAAGGCCAAUCAAACCGGGAGAUAGCUGGUUCUCCCCGAAAGCUAUUUAGGUAGCGCCUCGUGAAUUCAUCUCCGGGGGUAGAGCACUGUUUCGGCUAGGGGGCCAUCCCGGCUUACCAACCCGAUGCAAACUGCGAAUACCGGAGAAUGUUAUCACGGGAGACACACGGCGGGUGCUAACGUCCGUCGUGAAGAGGGAAACAACCCAGACCGCCAGCUAAGGUCCCAAAGUCAUGGUUAAGUGGGAAACGAUGUGGGAAGGCCCAGACAGCCAGGAUGUUGGCUUAGAAGCAGCCAUCAUUUAAAGAAAGCGUAAUAGCUCACUGGUCGAGUCGGCCUGCGCGGAAGAUGUAACGGGGCUAAACCAUGCACCGAAGCUGCGGCAGCGACACUGUGUGUUGUUGGGUAGGGGAGCGUUCUGUAAGCCUGCGAAGGUGGCCUGUGAGGGUUGCUGGAGGUAUCAGAAGUGCGAAUGCUGACAUAAGUAACGAUAAAGCGGGUGAAAAGCCCGCUCGCCGGAAGACCAAGGGUUCCUGUCCAACGUUAAUCGGGGCAGGGUGAGUCGACCCCUAAGGCGAGGCCGAAAGGCGUAGUCGAUGGGAAACGGGUUAAUAUUCCCGUACUUGGUGUUACUGCGAAGGGGGGACGGAGAAGGCUAUGUUGGCCGGGCGACGGUUGUCCCGGUUUAAGCGUGUAGGUGUGUGUUCCAGGUAAAUCCGGUUCACUUUAACACUGAGGCGUGACGACGAGGCACUACGGUGCUGAAGCAACAAAUGCCCUGCUUCCAGGAAAAGCCUCUAAGCAUCAGGUAACAUCAAAUCGUACCCCAAACCGACACAGGUGGUCAGGUAGAGAAUACCAAGGCGCUUGAGAGAACUCGGGUGAAGGAACUAGGCAAAAUGGUGCCGUAACUUCGGGAGAAGGCACGCUGACACGUAGGUGAAGUGAUUUACUCAUGGAGCUGAAGUCAGUCGAAGAUACCAGCUGGCUGCAACUGUUUAUUAAAAACACAGCACUGUGCAAACACGAAAGUGGACGUAUACGGUGUGACGCCUGCCCGGUGCCGGAAGGUUAAUUGAUGGGGUCAGCGCAAGCGAAGCUCCUGAUCGAAGCCCCGGUAAACGGCGGCCGUAACUAUAACGGUCCUAAGGUAGCGAAAUUCCUUGUCGGGUAAGUUCCGACCUGCACGAAUGGCGUAAUGAUGGCCAGGCUGUCUCCACCCGAGACUCAGUGAAAUUGAACUCGCUGUGAAGAUGCAGUGUACCCGCGGCAAGACGGAAAGACCCCGUGAACCUUUACUAUAGCUUGACACUGAACAUUGAGCCUUGAUGUGUAGGAUAGGUGGGAGGCUUUGAAGUGUGGACGCCAGUCUGCAUGGAGCCGACCUUGAAAUACCACCCUUUAAUGUUUGAUGUUCUAACGUGGACCCGUUACCCGGGUUGCGGACAGUGUCUGGUGGGUAGUUUGACUGGGGCGGUCUCCUCCUAAAGAGUAACGGAGGAGCACGAAGGUUGGCUAAUCCUGGUCGGACAUCAGGAGGUUAGUGCAAUGGCAUAAGCCAGCUUGACUGCGAGCGUGACGGCGCGAGCAGGUGCGAAAGCAGGUCAUAGUGAUCCGGUGGUUCUGAAUGGAAGGGCCAUCGCUCAACGGAUAAAAGGUACUCCGGGGAUAACAGGCUGAUACCGCCCAAGAGUUCAUAUCGACGGCGGUGUUUGGCACCUCGAUGUCGGCUCAUCACAUCCUGGGGCUGAAGUAGGUCCCAAGGGUAUGGCUGUUCGCCAUUUAAAGUGGUACGCGAGCUGGGUUUAGAACGUCGUGAGACAGUUCGGUCCCUAUCUGCCGUGGGCGCUGGAGAACUGAGGGGGGCUGCUCCUAGUACGAGAGGACCGGAGUGGACGCAUCACUGGUGUUCGGGUUGUCAUGCCAAUGGCACUGCCCGGUAGCUAAAUGCGGAAGAGAUAAGUGCUGAAAGCAUCUAAGCACGAAACUUGCCCCGAGAUGAGUUCUCCCUGAGACUUAAAGUCUCCUGAAGGAACGUUGAAGACGACGACGUUGAUAGGCCGGGUGUGUAAGCGCAGCGAUGCGUUGAGCUAACCGGUACUAAUGAACCGUGAGGCUUAACCUUACAACGCCGAAG
This 2312-nucleotide ribosomal RNA is filed under the name Salmonella enterica subsp. enterica serovar Enteritidis. RNAcentral describes it as "partial 23S ribosomal RNA". It matches the Rfam family "Bacterial large subunit ribosomal RNA", at positions 646 to 2925 of the family's 2925-position model. Lineage: Bacteria; Pseudomonadati; Pseudomonadota; Gammaproteobacteria; Enterobacterales; Enterobacteriaceae. The record is from RNAcentral.